AGCGAACGCUGGCGGCAGGCCUAACACAUGCAAGUCGAACGAACCUUUCGGGGUUAGUGGCGGACGGGUGAGUAACACGUGGGAACGUGCCUUUAGGUUCGGAAUAACUCAGGGAAACUUGUGCUAAUACCGAAUGUGCCCUGCGGGGGAAAGAUUUAUCGCCUUUAGAGCGGCCCGCGUCUGAUUAGCUAGUUGGUUGAGGUAAUGGCGCACCAAGGCGACGAUCAGUAGCUGGUCUGAGAGGAUGAUCAGCCACAUUGGGACUGAGACACGGCCCAAACUCCUACGGGAGGCAGCAGUGGGGAAUCUUGCGCAAUGGGCGAAAGCCUGACGCAGCCAUGCCGCGUGAAUGAUGAAGGUCUUAGGAUUGUAAAAUUCUUUCACCGGGGACGAUAAUGACGGUACCCGGAGAAGAAGCCCCGGCUAACUUCGUG
RNAcentral lists this ribosomal RNA (434 nucleotides) under uncultured bacterium. Its description in RNAcentral is "partial 16S ribosomal RNA". It matches the Rfam family "Bacterial small subunit ribosomal RNA", at positions 29 to 507 of the family's 1533-position model. The record is from RNAcentral.